RNAcentral lists this unclassified non-coding RNA (272 nucleotides) under uncultured fungus. Its description in RNAcentral is "sequence contains ITS2". The record is from RNAcentral. Lineage: Eukaryota; Fungi.
AACGCACCUUGCGCUCCUAGGUCUUCCGAGGAGCAUGCCUGUUUGAGUGCCCAGAAUCAAUCUCAACUAACACUUCGUGUGUGAGUUGGAUUUGGAGGUCUGCCGUUGACUUGUUCACGGCUCCUCCUAAAUAUAUUAGCUGCUUGGUAAUGAUACCGUUGGCUUGAUAUUAUGUCUAUGCUACGGUUGAAUUAGUCCAGUGCUUCUAAUCGUCUUCGGACACUAUUCUGACCUCGGGCCUCAAAUCAGGUAGGAUUACCCGCUGAACUUAA